Molecule: long non-coding RNA, 3379 nt
Organism: Nerophis ophidion (straightnose pipefish)
Lineage: Eukaryota; Metazoa; Chordata; Actinopteri; Syngnathiformes; Syngnathidae
Exons: 2
Source: RefSeq, a predicted model, not a curated record
AUCCUGCACAAAGUUUUCAUCGGUAGUAUUGAUUUAACAAGCCAACUACAGGUAGAGCUUUUUGAGAAAAUACUUUUGACUGCUUUCUCUCUUGUACUACACACUCACUCAUGACUAGUCAAGGCCAUCUUAAUGUAGCAAGGAGAGUCCAGUCUAGGUGAGUCCAUCUUGGAACUAAAGUGCAGGACUGUGUAACUAAAAUAACAGAACGUAACAAAUGUGCUACUUUAAAACAAUUAUUUAGUCCAAUAAUAUUUAAAUCGUAAUUACUGCAUGAUAAUUAUUGAUUUCCAUACUUAAAUAGGAAUAACCAUAGACUUUUGCUGUGACGUGAGAAAUUGGGCCGCCAUCUUGAAGUGGUGAUGAGGAGCCUAAACUGACAGUUGACAGGUAGACAACAAAGAUGCUAAACUGACAGUUGAUGGGUCGAAAACAAAUAUUGUAAACUGACAGUUGACAGGUUAAAAACAAGGAUGCUAAACUGACAGUUGACAGGUAGAAAACAAAGAUGCUAAAGUGACAGUUGACAGAUAGAAAACAAAGAUGCUAAACUGACAGUUGACAGGUUAAAAAAAAGAGGCUAAACUGACAGUUGGCGGGUAGAACACAAAGAUGCUAAACUGACAGUUGACGGGUAGAAAACAAAUAUGCUAAACUGACGGUUGACAGGUAGAAAACAAAGAUGCCAAACUGAUGGUUGACCGAUAGAAAACAAAGAUGCUAAACUGACAGUUGACAGGUAGAAAACUAAGAUGUUAAACUGACAGUUGACAGGUAGGAAACAAAGAUGCUAAACUGACAGUUGAAGGGUAGAAAACAAAGAUGCUAAACUGACAGUUGACAGGUAGAAAACAAAGAUGUUAAACUGACAGUUGACAGGUAGAAAACAAAGAUGCUAAACUGACAGUUGACGGGUAGAAAACAAAGAUGCUAAACUGACAGUUGACGGGUAGAAAACAAAGAUGCUAAACUGACAGUUGACGGGUAGAAAACAAAGAUGCUAAACUGACAGUUGACAGGUAGAAAACAAAGAUGCUAAACUGACAGUUGACAGGUAGAAAACAAAGAUGCUAAACUGACAGUUGACGGGUAGAAAACAAAGAUGCUAAACUGACAGUUGACGGGUAGAAAACAAAGAUGCUAAACUGACAGUUGACAGGUAGAAAACAAAGAUGCUAAACUGACAGUUGACAGGUAGAAAACAAAGAUGUUAAACUGACAGUUGACAGGUAGAAAACAAAGAUGUUAAACUGACGGCUGACAGGUAGAAAACAAAGAUGCUAAACUGACGGCUGACAGGUAGAAAACAAAGAUGCUAAACUGACGGCUGACAGGUAGAAAACAAAGAUGCUAAACUGACAGUUGACAGGUAGAAAACAAAGAUGCUAAACUGACAGUUGACAGGUAGAAAACAAAGAUGCUAAACUGACAGUUGACAGGUAAAAAACAAAGAUGCUAAACUGACAGUUGACGGGUAGAAAACAAAGAUGCUAAACUGACAGUUGACGGGUAGAAAACAAAGAUGCUAAACUGACAGUUGACGGGUAGAAAACAAAGAUGUUAAACUGACAGCUGACGGGUAGAAAACAAAGAUGCUAAACUGACAGUUGACGGGUAGAAAACAAAGAUGCUAAACUGACAGUUGACAGGUAGAAAACAAAGAUGCUAAACUGACAGUUGACAGGUAGAAAACAAAGAUGCUAAACUGACAGUUGACAGGUAGAAAACAAAGAUGCUAAACUGACAGUUGACAGGUAGAAAACAAAGAUGCUAAACUGACAGUUGACGGGUAGAAAACAAAGAUGCUAAACUGACAGUUGACGGGUAGAAAAACAAAGAUGCUAAACCGACAGUUGGCGGGUAGAAAACAAAGAUGCUAAACUGACAGUUGACUGGUAGAAUACAAAGAUGCUAAACUGACAGUUGACAGGUAGAAAACAAAAAUGCUAAACUGACAGUUGACAGGUAGAAAACAAAGAUGUUAAACUGACAGUUGACAGGUAGAAAACAAAGAUGCUAAACUGACAGUUGACAGGUAGAAAACAAAGAUGCUAAACUGACGGUUGACGGGUAGAAAACAAAGAUGCUAAACUGACAUUUGACAGGUAGAAAACAAAGAUGUUAAACUUACAGCUGACAGGUAGAAAACAAAGAUGCUAAACUGACAGUUGACAGGUAGAAAACAAAGAUGCUAAACUGACAGUUGACAGGUAGAAAACAAAGAUGCUAAACUGACAGUUGACAGGUAGAAAACAAAGAUGCUAAACUGACAGCUGACAGGUAGAAAACAAAGAUGCUAAACUGACAGCUGACAGGUAGAAAACAAAGAUGCUAAACUGACAGUUGACAGGUAGAAAACAAAGAUGCUAAACUGACAGCUGACAGGUAGAAAACAAAGAUGCUAAACUGACAGCUGACAGGUAGAAAACAAAGAUGCUAAACUGACAGUUGACAGGUAGAAAACAAAGAUGCUAAACUGACAGUUGACGGGUAGAAAACAAAGAUGCUAAACUGACAGUUGACGGGUAGAAAAACAAAGAUGCUAAACCGACAGUUGGCGGGUAGAAAACAAAGAUGCUAAACUGACAGUUGACUGGUAGAAUACAAAGAUGCUAAACUGACAGUUGACAGGUAGAAAACAAAAAUGCUAAACUGACAGUUGACAGGUAGAAAACAAAGAUGUUAAACUGACAGUUGACAGGUAGAAAAUAAAGAUGCUAAACUGACAGUUGACAGGUAGAAAACAAAGAUGCUAAACUGACAGUUGACGGGUAGAAAACAAAGAUGCUAAACUGACAGUUGACGGGUAGAAAACAAAGAUGCUAAACUGACAGUUGACGGGUAGAAAAACAAAGAUGCUAAACCGACAGUUGGCGGGUAGAAAACAAAGAUGCUAAACUGACAGUUGACUGGUAGAAUACAAAGAUGCUAAACUGACAGUUGACAGGUAGAAAACAAAAAUGCUAAACUGACAGUUGACGGGUAGAAAACAAAGAUGCUAAACUGACAUUUGACAGUUAGAAAACAAAGAUGUUAAACUGACAGCUGACAGGUAGAAAACAAAGAUGCUAAACUGACAGUUGACAGGUAGAAAACAAAGAUGCUAAACUGACAGUUGACAGGUAGAAAACAAAGAUGCUAAACUGACAGUUGACAGGUAGAAAACAAAGAUGCUAAACUGACAGCUGACAGGUAGAAAACAAAGAUGCUAAACUGACAGCUGACAGGUAGAAAACAAAGAUGCUAAACUGACAGCUGACAGGUAGAAAACAAAGAUGCUAAACUGACAGCUGACAGGUAGAAAACAAAGAUGCUAAACUGACAGUUGACAGGUAGAAAACAAAGAUGCUAAACUGACAGUUGACGGGUAGAAAACAAA